Molecule: ribosomal RNA, 947 nt
Filed under: uncultured bacterium
Lineage: Bacteria
Description: bacterial SSU rRNA
Rfam family: Bacterial small subunit ribosomal RNA
Source: RNAcentral
GAUGAACGCUGGCGGCGUGGAUAAGGCAUGCAAGUCGAGCGGUCCCGACAUUUUGUCGGGACAGCGGCGAACGAGUUAGUAACACGUGGAUACGUACCCUGAAGACGGGCAUAAUCCGCCGAAAGGCGGACUAAUUCCCGAUAGCCCCCUCUUUCGCUUUUUGUUUCACAAAAGCUUCAGAGGGCGAAGCCGUAAGGCAUUGCCCUCCAUAGCUCUGCGUGGAACACAGAGCGAAGGAGGGGUAAAGGAGCAAUUCGCUUCAGGAGCGGUCCGCGGCCUAUCAGCUUGUUGGUGGGGUAAAAGCCCACCAAGGCUAUGACGGGUAGGGGAGGUGAGAGCCUGUUCCCCAACGUGGGUACUGAGACACGGACCUGACACCUACGGGUGGCCGCAGUCGAGGAUAUUGGACAAUGGGGGAAACCCUGAUCCAGCGACGCCGCGUGCGGGAUGAAGGCCUUCGGGUUGUAAACCGCUUUUAUAGAGGAAGAAACUUUUAGUUGACGGUACUCUAUGAAUAAGGGGGUGCUAAUUCUGUGCCAGCAGCAGCGGUAAUACAGAACCCCCGAGUGUUAUCCGGAAUUAUUGGGCGUAAAGCGUCUGUAGCCGGUUUGGAAAGUCUUUUGUUAAAUACCAAGGGCUCAACCUUUGGAAUGCAAGGGAAACUUCCAGACUCGAGGAUGUUAGGGGCUGAUGGAACUCUUGGUGGAGGGGUGGAAUCCGUUGAUAUCAAGAGGAACACCGAAAGCGAAGGCAUUCAGCUGGAACAAUCCUGACGGUGAGAGACGAAAGCGUGGGGAGCGAAAAGGAUUAGAUACCCUUGUAGUCCACGCCGUAAACGAUGGAUACUAGCUAUGUGAAGUGUCGACCCUUCACGUGGCGAAGCUAACGCGUUAAGUAUCCCGCCUGGGAAGUACGAUCGCAAGAUUAAAACUCAAAGGAAUAGACGG